AGGGGCGCAGCAGUGGGGAAUCUUCCACAAUGGGCGAAAGCCUGAUGGAGCGACGCCGCGUGAGCGAAGAAGGCCUUCGGGUUGUAAAGCUCUGUCUGGAGGGACGAAGGAAGUGACGGUACCUCCGGAGGAAGCCACGGCUAACUACGUGCCAGCAGCCGCGGUAAUACGUAGGUGGCGAGCGUUGUCCGGAAUUACUGGGCGUAAAGGGCGCGCAGGCGGCGUGUCAAGCCGGACGUGAAAACCCCUGGCUCAACUGGGGGUGUCGUUCGAAACUGGCAUGCUUGAGUGCAGGAGAGGGAAGCGGAAUUCCCGGUGUAGCGGUGAAAUGCGUAGAUAUCGGGAGGAUCACCAGUGGCGAAGGCGGCUUCCUGGACUGCUACUGACGCUGAGGCGCGAAAGCUGGGGGAGCGAACAGGAUUAGAUACCCUGGUAGUCCCAGCCGUAAACGAUGAACACUAGGUGUGGGAGGUAUCGACCCCUUCCGUGCCGCAGCUAACGCAAUAAGUACCCCGCCUGGGGAGUACGUGCGCAAGCAUGAAACUCAAAGGAAUUGGCGGGGGAGCACA
RNAcentral lists this ribosomal RNA (569 nucleotides) under uncultured archaeon. RNAcentral describes it as "bacterial SSU rRNA". It matches the Rfam family "Bacterial small subunit ribosomal RNA", at positions 342 to 925 of the family's 1533-position model. The record is from RNAcentral.